UGCACGUUGGUGCAGUGGGUAGCACUGCAAGAAGGUCCUGGGUUCAACUCCCGGCCGGGGGUCUUUCUGCAU
Ataeniobius toweri is the source of this 72-nucleotide non-coding RNA. NCBI's taxonomy places the organism in Eukaryota, Metazoa, Chordata, Actinopteri, Cyprinodontiformes, Goodeidae. The record is from the annotation of a GenBank genome assembly.